UCUCCGUCGGUGAACCAGCGGAGGGAUCAUUA
This 32-nucleotide ribosomal RNA is filed under the name Ophiocordyceps sinensis. Its description in RNAcentral is "partial 18S ribosomal RNA". Lineage: Eukaryota; Fungi; Ascomycota; Sordariomycetes; Hypocreales; Ophiocordycipitaceae. The record is from RNAcentral.